UGGGGAAUAUUGGACAAUGGGCGCAAGCCUGAUCCAGCCAUGCCGCGUGAGUGAUGAAGGCCUUAGGGUUGUAAAGCUCUUUUAACGGGGAAGAUAAUGACGGUACCCGUAGAAUAAGCCCCGGCUAACUUCGUGCCAGCAGCCGCGGUAAUACGAAGGGGGCUAGCGUUGCUCGGAAUCACUGGGCGUAAAGCGCACGUAGGCGGAUCUUUAAGUCAGGGGUGAAAUCCCGGAGCUCAACUCCGGAACUGCCUUUGAUACUGAGGAUCUUGAGUUCGAGAGAGGUGAGUGGAACUGCGAGUGUAGAGGUGAAAUUCGUAGAUAUUCGCAAGAACACCAGUGGCGAAGGCGGCUCACUGGCUCGAUACUGACGCUGAGGUGCGAAAGCGUGGGGAGCAAACA
This 402-nucleotide ribosomal RNA is filed under the name uncultured Rhodoplanes sp. RNAcentral describes it as "bacterial SSU rRNA". It matches the Rfam family "Bacterial small subunit ribosomal RNA", at positions 355 to 774 of the family's 1533-position model. Lineage: Bacteria; Pseudomonadati; Pseudomonadota; Alphaproteobacteria; Hyphomicrobiales; Nitrobacteraceae. The record is from RNAcentral.